AACGAACGCUGGCGGCAUGCCUAACACAUGCAAGUCGAACGAGACCUUCGGGUCUAGUGGCGCACGGGUGCGUAACGCGUGGGAACCUGCCCUUAGGUUCGGAAUAGCUCCCCGAAAGGGGUGCUAAUACCGGAUAAUGUCUUCGGACCAAAGAUUUAUCGCCUUUGGAUGGGCCCGCGUUGGAUUAGCUAGUUGGUAGGGUAAAAGCCUACCAAGGCGACGAUCCAUAGCUGGUCUGAGAGGAUGAUCAGCCACACUGGGACUGAGACACGGCCCAGACUCCUACGGGAGGCAGCAGUGGGGAAUAUUGGACAAUGGGCGAAAGCCUGAUCCAGCAAUGCCGCGUGAGUGACGAAGGCCUUAGGGUUGUAAAGCUCUUUUACCCGGGAUGAUAAUGACAGUACCGGGAGAAUAAGCUCCGGCUAACUCCGUG
Molecule: ribosomal RNA, 433 nt
Filed under: uncultured bacterium
Lineage: Bacteria
Description: partial 16S ribosomal RNA
Rfam family: Bacterial small subunit ribosomal RNA
Source: RNAcentral